AUGCUUUUUCAAAAGCGUGCCCCCCAUGUUUUUUGCUCUUGCAGUAGAAAUAACUUUAGUUUGUCAAUUUUUCAGGGUCCUAGGAAUAGGUCAUCACCUGCAAGGCUUUUUAAGUUGAACAAAGAUCUCGAUGAAGACCAAAAAAAUGUUAUCAGAGGCAUAGACUUUGGGGGCUUGUUGGAUAUCACAGCUACAACCAUGCCCAGUGAUCUCAGCCAGUGGAUCAUGAAACACCACGACCCAGAAAAGUCUCAAAUUGUUAUACCAGAUAGAGGCAAAAUACCAGUAGAUGAAGAUAGUGUUAGGAGGAUUUGGGGUUUGCCCAACAGUGACAGGAAAGUAUGUUUUGAAAUGAAUCUAGAUGUUAUAAGGGAAUUCAGCAGUAUUUUCAAGAUCGAGGGAAAAACGCCCCUACAUUGA
Molecule: ribosomal RNA, 420 nt
Filed under: Triticum aestivum (bread wheat)
Lineage: Eukaryota; Viridiplantae; Streptophyta; Magnoliopsida; Poales; Poaceae
Description: partial small subunit ribosomal RNA
Source: RNAcentral